Molecule: long non-coding RNA, 344 nt
Organism: Hibiscus syriacus
Lineage: Eukaryota; Viridiplantae; Streptophyta; Magnoliopsida; Malvales; Malvaceae
Exons: 4
Source: RefSeq, a predicted model, not a curated record
UGUUGCUAGGGCGAGAGGUAACGUCAAUGUUGUGCGAGCUAUCGAGGAACACAUAUGUUUGUUCUCUGGUUGGAUGCGAGAAAUUCAUGGGCCAGGAUUCAUCGAAAUGUUUGUUCCUCAAUUGGUUUCAAGAAAAGUUUGGGUGGUUGUUCUACCAACUGGUUUGCGUAAUCAUACAACGCCUCUGAAGUUGGGGCUGGCGACGUACUCCAGUUUGCAGGUAUAGCAAGUUUAAUUACAAUCUCUCUCUCGAUACACAAGCUUGUCUUAAACUGCCCUGAAUCCGAACAUCAAACUAGCUUCAGCUUUCUUAAAUACUUAUGGAGGUAUUAUGUGUAUAAAUA